Molecule: long non-coding RNA, 1658 nt
Filed under: Sus scrofa (pig)
Lineage: Eukaryota; Metazoa; Chordata; Mammalia; Artiodactyla; Suidae
Description: lncRNA (ENSSSCG00030002653.1)
Source: RNAcentral
UUUUUUUUUGUCUUUUUGCAUUUCUAGGGCCACUUCUGUGGCAUAUGAAGGUUCCCAGCUAGGGGUCUAAUCGGAGUUGUAGCCGAUGGCCUACACCAGAGCCACAGCAACGUGGGAUCUGAGCCAUCUGCAACCUACACCACAGCUCACGGCAACACCCGAUCCUUAACCCACUGAGCAAGGCCAGGGAUUGAACCCGCAACCCUAUGGUUCCUAGUCGGAUUCGUUAACCACUGAGCAAUGACGGGAACUCCAAUAGUGGAAUAAUAUUAAUAAUGGAAUAGUAUUUGGUCAUACAAAUAAUGGAGUUCUGAUACAUGGUACAAUGUGGAGCAACUCUAGAAACAUUAUACUAAAUUAAAGAAGCCACAAAAGACCACAUACUGUAUGAUUCCAUGGAUAUGAAAAUGCAAGAUCUGGCUAGCUGUCAAGACAGAAAGUAGAUUUAUGGUUGCUUAUGGCUGGGGGGUUAGGGGUGGCAAGAAUGGUUAUUGAAUAUAAUUCUCUGUGCUGUAUGAUAGGACCUCGUUGGUAUCCAUUCUAUGUAUAAUAGUUUGCAUCUGCUAGCCCCAAACUCCCAAUCCAUUCCUCUCCGCACUCCCUCAGCAACCAUAAGUGCUUUCUCUAUGUCUGUAAGUUUAUUUCUGUUUUGUAGAUAAGUUCAUCUGUGUCAUAUUUUAGAUUCCACGUACAAAUGAUAUCAUAUGGUAUUUGUCGUUCUUUUUCUGACUUAAUUCACUUAGUAUGAUAAUCUCUAGGUCCAUCCGUUUUGCUGCAAAUGGCACUAUUUUAUUCUUCUUAUGGCUGAGUAGUAGUCCGUUGUACAUAUGUACCACGUUUUCUUUAUCCAUUCAUCUGUUGAUGGACACUUAUGUCUUGGCUGUUGUAAACAGUGCUGCUGUGAACAUAAGGAUGCAUGCAUCUUUUCGAAUUAUAUUUGUCACGAUAUAUGCCUAGGAGUGGGCUUGCGGGAUCGUAUAGCAAUUCUGUUGUUUUGUUUUGUUUUUUGUCUUUGUAGGGCCAUACCCAUGGCAUAUGGAGGUUCCCAGGCUAGAGGUCAAACUGCAGUUGCAGCCACCAUCCUACACCACAGCCACAGCAACAUCCCAUCCGAGUCUGCGACCUACACCACAGCUCAGGCCAAUGGCGGGGAUGGCAGUGCCCACUGAGCAAGACCAGGGAUGGAACCCGUGUCCUCAUGGAUACUAGUCAGGUUUGUUUCUGCUGCACAAUGACAGGAACUCAUAAGGUAUUUUUUUAAUAACAGUUAUACCCCUUACCAGCCACUGCUCUAGGAAAAGAUGGAGGUAGCGAAAAGAUACAUGAACAGGAAACAGAGCAACAUGCAGAUUAUUGUUCUCCUCAAGUAAUUUUCUCAGGUAUCUUGAAUAUACUGUAAGCAUUAUGAAUCUCUUUGGAACCUGAAUACACAGAUGUUAAGCACAAAAUUUAUGGUAUCAGCUUUACUAAAUGAUGUGGCAGGUUUUCUUUUUUGCUCUUGUUCUUUCUUCUCAUCUUCCCAUUACUUUCAAUAACAAGAUUCUGUAUCCACAAUUUCCUUAGUGAAAAGUACUAAGAGCUUCUAGUUUUCUAUUCUCCCCCCACCAUGGGAAUAAAUUUAAAAUGUCAAUUCACUAGGCCAGCUGAUUUACGGCUAC